This 336-nucleotide ribosomal RNA is filed under the name uncultured Acidobacteriota bacterium. Its description in RNAcentral is "bacterial SSU rRNA". It matches the Rfam family "Bacterial small subunit ribosomal RNA", at positions 32 to 351 of the family's 1533-position model. Lineage: Bacteria; Pseudomonadati; Acidobacteriota. The record is from RNAcentral.
AAUCAACGCUGGCGGCGUGCCUAACACAUGCAAGUCGAACGCGAAAGGGGCUUCGGCCCUGAGUAGAGUGGCAGACGGGUGAGUAACGCGUGGGUGACCUACCCUCGAGCGGGGGAUAACGUUCCGAAAGGGACGCUAAUACCGCAUGACAUCCUGUCCUUGGACGGACGGAGAUCAAAGCUGGGGAUCGCAAGACCUGGCACUUGAGGAGGGGCCCGCGUCCGAUUAGCUAGUUGGUGAGGUAAUGGCUCACCAAGGCGACGAUCGGUAGCUGGUCUGAGAGGAUGAUCAGCCACACUGGAACUGGAACACGGUCCAGACUCCUACGGGAGGCAG